ACAGUUACGCGUUCUGAUUGGUCUAGAGUCUACAGUGACUGUAGACUCUAGACCAAUCAGAACGCGUAACUGUCUACAGUCGUUGCGCUACUGUAGACUCGACCCCUGCGAAUUUCCCAAAUGUGGAAAUCUCGAUUGCAUAAUUUCUGGUAGUGGGGGACUGCGUUCGCGCUCUCCCCUG
Small nuclear RNA from Esox lucius (northern pike), 181 nucleotides. Its record names the gene U1. It matches the Rfam family "U1 spliceosomal RNA". Rfam says of the family: U1 is a small nuclear RNA (snRNA) component of the spliceosome (involved in pre-mRNA splicing). Its 5' end forms complementary base pairs with the 5' splice junction, thus defining the 5' donor site of an intron. NCBI's taxonomy places the organism in Eukaryota, Metazoa, Chordata, Actinopteri, Esociformes, Esocidae. The record is from Ensembl.